Molecule: ribosomal RNA, 499 nt
Filed under: uncultured bacterium
Lineage: Bacteria
Description: partial 16S ribosomal RNA
Rfam family: Bacterial small subunit ribosomal RNA
Source: RNAcentral
GACGAACGCUGGCGGCGUGCCUAAUACAUGCAAGUCGAGCGAAGUUUUUCUGGUGCUUGCACCGGAAAAACUUAGCGGCGAACGGGUGAGUAACACGUAAAGAACCUGCCUCAUAGACUGGGACAACUAUUGGAAACGAUAGCUAAUACCGGAUAACAGCAUUAACUGCAUGGUUGAUGUUUAAAAGUUGGUUUUGCUAACACUAUGAGAUGGCUUUGCGGUGCAUUAGCUAGUUGGUGGGGUAAAGGCCUACCAAGGCGACGAUGCAUAGCCGACCUGAGAGGGUGAUCGGCCACACUGGGACUGAGCCACGGCCCAGACUCCUACGGGAGGCAGCAGUAGGGAAUCUUCCGCAAUGGGCGAAAGCCUGACGGAGCAACGCCGCGUGAGUGAAGAAGGAUUUCGGUUCGUAAAGCUCUGUUGUUAGGGAAGAAUGAUUGUGUAGUAACUAUACACAGUAGAGACGGUACCUAACCAGAAAGCCACGGCUAACUACGUG